Molecule: ribosomal RNA, 460 nt
Filed under: uncultured bacterium
Lineage: Bacteria
Description: partial 16S ribosomal RNA
Rfam family: Bacterial small subunit ribosomal RNA
Source: RNAcentral
CCUACGGGAGGCAGCAGUGAGGAAUAUUGGUCAAUGGGCGAGAGCCUGAACCAGCCAAGUCGCGUGAAGGAUGAAGGAUCUAUGGUUUGUAAACUUCUUUUAUAUGGGAAUAAAGUGCGGCACGUGUUCCUUUUUGUAUGUACCAUAUGAAUAAGCAUCGGCUAACUCCGUGCCAGCAGCCGCGGUAAUACGGAGGAUGCGAGCGUUAUCCGGAUUUAUUGGGUUUAAAGGGUGCGUAGGUGGUUAUUUAAGUCAGCGGUGAAAGUUUGUGGCUCAACCAUAAAAUUGCCGUUGAAACUGGUAGACUUGAGUAUAUUUGAGGUAGGCGGAAUGCGUGGUGUAGCGGUGAAAUGCAUAGAUAUCACGCAGAACUCCGAUUGCGAAGGCAGCUUACUAAACUAUAACUGACACUGAAGCACGAAAGCGUGGGGAUCAAACAGGAUUAGAUACCCCAGUAGUC